AACGAACGCUGGCGGCAGGCCUAACACAUGCAAGUCGAGCGAGGUUUUCGGACCUAGCGGCGGACGGGUGAGUAACGUGUGGGAACGUGCCCUUUGCUACGGAAUAGCCCCGGGAAACUGGGAGUAAUACCGUAUGUGCCCUUCGGGGGAAAGAUUUAUCGGCAAAGGAUCGGCCCGCGUUGGAUUAGGUAGUUGGUGGGGUAAUGGCCUACCAAGCCGACGAUCCAUAGCUGGUUUGAGAGGAUGAUCAGCCACACUGGGACUGAGACACGGCCCAGACUCCUCCGGGAGGCAGCAGUGGGGAAUCUUAGACAAUGGGGGAAACCCUGAUCUAGCCAUGCCGCGUGAGCGAUGAAGGCCUUAGGGUUGUAAAGCUCUUUCAGGUGGGAAGAUAAUGACGGUACCGCCAGAAGAAGCCCCGGCUAACUCCGUGCCAGCCGCCGCCGUAA
RNAcentral lists this ribosomal RNA (449 nucleotides) under uncultured bacterium. Its description in RNAcentral is "partial 16S ribosomal RNA". It matches the Rfam family "Bacterial small subunit ribosomal RNA", at positions 29 to 523 of the family's 1533-position model. The record is from RNAcentral.